This is a long non-coding RNA of Molossus molossus (Pallas's mastiff bat), 1406 nucleotides long. RefSeq lists it as uncharacterized. The record is from RefSeq and is a predicted model, not a curated record. The transcript has 2 exons. Lineage: Eukaryota; Metazoa; Chordata; Mammalia; Chiroptera; Molossidae.
AGCGGCGGCGCUGCUCACCUCAUCCCGUAUGCAGGAGGCGUGAGCCACUGGCGAGGUUUUGGGGGGGAGAGCAGGAGGGAGGAAGAAGAGGGGACGAGGGGCGGGCAGAGCUCGCCUGGUGGACCCCUCGCACUAAAACUGAGGGCUUGCACGGGUGGAAUAGAGAGGGUGCUGCAGAGGGUAGGGGCCUCGCCUCCCUUGAGCAGACACAGCUCUGCCCGCCCCCCCACUCUCCGGCGCAGGCGGGGCCGGCACGUGGGCAGGUGCCAUCCCGCGCCCUAAAAAUAACGGCAGGGAACUAGGUCGCGGCCGCGGGGAAGCGGCCCCGCAGUGGCUGCCUGGCUAGGGGUCUGGGACGACCCCUAGGGGGAAGAUGAGACUUCGAGGGUGGGGCACCAUGGAAUAUGGGUCCCUGGAGAGCCUGUCUGCAAAGCCCGGAAGCAAGCCCUGAAGAGGGGUGGAGAGCCAGACCCUCUCUCAUAUCGCUGUUCAAGAGGUCUCCUAGAAGAUUGAUUAUCCUGGGACCCCUCAGCACCCCUAGAUCCAGGCUGGAGCCUGUGGUGGAGACAUCUCAGAAAGUAGCAUCAGAGGUUUGGACACUUUGAGUCGCUGAAAGAUCUAAACAUCAAAGGGUAAGAACAGAUUAAGGGUAAAUGAUUUUCAGACCCACCCUAGCUAGCCCCCACCACUAGCCCUCUAAGUUCCACAAGAGUUCCUGGGCUGGAAGGGAUGACAUUAAUCAUUUUAUCUCAUGCACAGCUUUCAUUUUACAGAUGAGAAAGUUAAGACCCAAAGAGGAGAAAUAAAUGACUACAUGUGGACACAAUGCCAGUGAAUAGAAGAACUUGGUCUAGGAUCCAGGUUGCUUUAUUGCAGUUUAGGACUCUGCUCGUGUGUGUGUGUGUGUGUGUGUGUGUGUGUGUGUGUGUGUGUGAACACAACCUCUUUUUAACUUGCCCCUGUCUCCAAUAAAGAAGACCUCUGAAUCGUGGCUACUAAAAAAGGAACAGGGACUGUGUCUGAGAUGAACUUUGUUCCUUUUCUUGUGCUCAGGUUUCAGAAUUACCAGACUGGAGUGGCCUCUUGGCUUGCAACUGAAGGUGGGCCCAGAAGGCCUUUAGAAGUCCUUUAAAGCCAUCCACGUGACUGGAGAUCCAGUUCUGGUAAUGUGACUUUUCAGGACCAUGGACAGGGCUCUCGGUUGAGAUUCCCGUGCCCGCAUUUGUCGGUGGCUUCAGACUGAGGCAACCACAGUCUUCCGUGGCUGACUGAGAGGAGCCCCUGAGGGACCCAUCAAUAAGGUAUCAUUGCCACUGGGUUCUGUGGAUGCUGGAAGGACACCAGGGUGAAGAGCUAGCUUUUCAGGCAGGUGUGAAAAUUCACCUUAGCUUUCCAAGAGGAAAAAA